This 1256-nucleotide ribosomal RNA is filed under the name metagenome. Its description in RNAcentral is "bacterial LSU rRNA". It matches the Rfam family "Bacterial large subunit ribosomal RNA", at positions 1681 to 2925 of the family's 2925-position model. The record is from RNAcentral.
CUAAGGCGCUUGAGAGAACUCGGGAGAAGGAACUCGGCAAAUUGACACCGUAACUUCGGAAGAAGGUGUGCCUUUAGUAGGUGAAGGGAUUUACUCCUGGAGCCCAAUGAGGUUGCAAAAAAUCGGUGGCUGCGACUGUUUAUUAAAAACACAGCACUCUGCAAACACGAAAGUGGACGUAUAGGGUGUGACGCCUGCCCGGUGCUGGAAGAUUAAAUGAUGGGGUGCAAGCUCUUGAUUGAAGUCCCAGUAAACGGCGGCCGUAACGAUAACGGUCCUAAGGUAGCGAAAUUCCUUGUCGGGCAAGUUCCGACCUGCACGAAUGGCGUAACGAUGGCCACACUGUCUCCUCCCGAGACUCAGCGAAGUUGAAAUGUUUGUGAUGAUGCAAUCUCCCCGCGGAAAGACGGAAAGACCCCAUGAACCUUUACUGUAGCUUUGUAUUGGACUUUGAACAGAUCUGUGUAGGAUAGGUGGGAGGCUUUGAAGCAGGGUCGCUAGAUCUUGUGGAGCCAACGUUGAAAUACCACCCUGGUGUGUUUGAGGUUCUAACCUAGGUCCAUUAUCUGGAUCGGGGACAGUGCAUGGUAGGCAGUUUGACUGGGGCGGUCUCCUCCCAAAGCGUAACGGAGGAGUUCGAAGGUACGCUAGGUACGGUCGGACAUCGUGCUAAUAGUGCAAUGGCAUAAGCGUGCUUAACUGCGAGACUGACAAGUCGAGCAGAUGCGAAAGCAGGACAUAGUGAUCCGGUGGUUCUGUAUGGAAGGGCCAUCGCUCAACGGAUAAAAGGUACUCUGGGGAUAACAGGCUGAUACCGCCCAAGAGUUCAUAUCGACGGCGGUGUUUGGCACCUCGAUGUCGGCUCAUCUCAUCCUGGGGCUGUAGCCGGUCCCAAGGGUAUGGCUGUUCGCCAUUUAAAGAGGUACGUGAGCUGGGUUUAAAACGUCGUGAGACAGUUUGGUCCCUAUCUUCCGUGGGCGCUGCAGAUUUGAGGAAGCCUGCUCCUAGUACGAGAGGACCGGAGUGGACGCACCUCUGGUGUAUCGGUUGUCACGCCAGUGGCAUUGCCGAGUAGCUAUGUGCGGAAGAGAUAACCGCUGAAAGCAUCUAAGCGGGAAACUCGUUUCAAGAUGAGAUCUGCCGGGGCCUUGAGCCCCCUAAAGAGUCGUUCAAGACCAGGACGUUGAUAGGUCAGGUGUGGAAGCGCAGUAAUGCGUUAAGCUAACUGAUACUAAUUGCUCGUGCGGCUUGACCCU